Molecule: long non-coding RNA, 1219 nt
Filed under: Daucus carota (carrot)
Lineage: Eukaryota; Viridiplantae; Streptophyta; Magnoliopsida; Apiales; Apiaceae
Description: long non-coding RNA (DCAR_LNC003604)
Source: RNAcentral
AGGGAAGGAAGACCUCGGAGACUCCGGCUACCAAUCAGCUACCGUCGCCUCCCUUGACGUCCGGAACCAGCUAUCCAGAACAUCUUGAAGGAAAGGAUAUUCAGAGGACAUGGAGCGCUGGACAUCAGCAUUAUUAUCAGGAAAGUUCAUAUUCUCCUUCUCUAAAUUUGUGGUUAUAUUUUCUAUUUUGAUAUUUGCGUAAUAGUCCUGGAAUCGAUGAGAUCACUCCCAAGACUCGGGGGUAGCAAUGGUACGUUCCCUCCGACCACACUAUCAUGUAAGCAUGCUAUUGACAACAAAUUUAGAACCUUUUGUGUAUCUUUUUUCGAAUCUAUAUAUUUGUGUCUUGUUUGGAGCGUGAAGACCAGGGACAACCUCCCUGCUGCUUUGGAAUUCGUCUUCAUGUGUAAUCGAGGCACAUGUUUGACACCCUCGGGAUGCCUGGACAACCAUCUUCAUAAGAUGGUUCGAAAGAAUUCCUAUGCCCUGGUGGCCCGUACUUCCGGUAAACCAUCAGGAAGACCCUCAGGGGUGCAGCUUUGGAAAACCCUCAGGGGUUGGAGUUUUUAUUCGAAAAUAUUUUUUAUUUGUUCGUCCCCAAGUGCGGUGGAGGGCGACGACCCACCUACUUGGAUGCCUGGGAUCUAAGUGGAUGAUGUCCCUACUGUCCCAGAGGUUUAUGUUCCCCAAGUGUGGUGGAGGGCGACGACCCACCUACUUGGAUGCUUGGAAUCUAAGUGGAUGAUUUCCCUACUGUUCCAGAGGUUGUUUUUCCCCAAGUGUGGUGGAGGGAAACGACCCACCUACUUGGAUGCCUAGGAUCUAAGUGGAUGAUGUCCCUACUGUCCUAGAUGCCUGGGAUUUAAGUAGAUGAUUUCCCUACUGUCCCGGAGGUUGAUCGUCCCCAAGUGCGGUGGAGGGCGACGACUCACCUACUUAGAUGCCUAGGAUUUAAGUAGAUGAUGUCCCUACUGUCCUAGAUGCCUGGGAUUUAAGUAGAUGAUUUCCCUACUGUCCCGGAGGUUGAUCGUCCCCAAGUGCGGUAGAGGGCGACGACCCACCUACUUGGAUGCCUAGGAUUUAAGUGGAUGAUGUCCCUACUGUCCUAGAUGCCUGGGAUUUAAGUAGAUGAUUUCCCUACUGUCCCGGAGGUUGUUUGUCCCCAAGUGCGGUGGAGGGCGACGACCCACCUACUUGGAUGCCUAGGAUUUAAGUGGAU